Molecule: ribosomal RNA, 328 nt
Filed under: uncultured eukaryote
Lineage: Eukaryota
Description: partial 18S ribosomal RNA
Rfam family: Eukaryotic small subunit ribosomal RNA
Source: RNAcentral
CCCUUAGAUGUCCUGGGCCGCACGCGCGUUACACUGAUGCAUUCAACGAGCCUAUAACCUUGGCCGAGAGGCCUGGGCAAUCUUGUUAACGUGCAUCGUGAUAGGGAUAGAUUAUUGAAAUUAUUAAUCUUGAACGAGGAAUUCCUAGUAAACGCAGAUCAUCAAUCUGCAUUGAUUACGUCCCUGCCCUUUGUACACACCGCCCGUCGCACCUACCGAUUGGAUGGUCUGGUGAAGCCUCGGGAUUGUGGUUCUUGCCGCUUUAUUGUGGCGUGACCGCGAGAACUUGUCUAAACCUUAUCAUCUAGAGGAAGGUGAAGUCGUAACA